Ruditapes philippinarum (Manila clam) is the source of this 625-nucleotide long non-coding RNA. RefSeq lists it as uncharacterized. The record is from RefSeq and is a predicted model, not a curated record. Lineage: Eukaryota; Metazoa; Mollusca; Bivalvia; Venerida; Veneridae. The transcript is spliced from 2 exons.
CAUACACACACAAUUGUCAAUACCAUGUUUAGGAGAUAAAACAUUCGCUAUGGGCAUGACUGUAACCAAUAUCAAUUGUCGUGAGCGUCUACUAGAGUCAGUUAAAUGUUAGCUAUAGGUGCAAAUAGAAGCCGGAUACAUCACUGCUAGAGACGAUUAUAAUAACUGGACAAAAGAAAGGACAGAUUAUUAUCUCAAUUAAAAUGAAAUCUGCAACACUUCUUCUACUGUCGUGCCUUACUUUGGUAUACUCAUUCAGACUUGAUGGAAAUCCACUGUAUGAAAUCAGCUGCAUGAAGCAAUGUGGGUCAUAUUUCAGCACAUGCUACAAGAAUUGUUUUUCUAAUGAACCGGAAACGGAAGCUACGUAUGUUAAACGUAAUCGCGCAUGCUUAGACGGAUGUAUAAUUAGACUUACCACGUGCCACCACUACUGUUCAAGAUGAAAAGAAAAAAACUUGCAAUCAAAGUGAACGCAGCAAGUCAUACAACCUAUAAGAUAUUUGUAUCAUUUUGGAAUGGAAUAAAGUAUAUCGAUAUAAGUUUGAAUUAUUCUAUUUUUAAUCUAAAAUGUACAUGGAUAAUACAUGUGUUGUAAAACGCUCAAUAAAUAUAUUUGAUUAAA